GCCACGUGAUGAUAUCAAGGCUGUUGUGAUUCAGUUGGUCUGGCCAAGCCCGGAGACCUUUGACCUACUAAGGUCUGUAAUCUUGGUGGGUCAUACAGAGGUAUGUGUGCUCACUGUAAGGGCAGACCAACAGGAAUAUUGUCCUACUUUUGAACCGCCUUUCUUAGGAGGGGUGGUUCUUCCAGUUGCCAGAGAGAAAUUGUGGUAACUGGCAUGAGAGUGGGAACAGAGAUAUUCAAGGUAUCAGGUCAGGGGUCUCAAAGGACUUGGCUAUGUUGUGACCACUGAGAGAUGAAACACAGAUCUUUGGUAAUCUGAUGGCU
Jaculus jaculus (lesser Egyptian jerboa) is the source of this 323-nucleotide small nucleolar RNA. NCBI's taxonomy places the organism in Eukaryota, Metazoa, Chordata, Mammalia, Rodentia, Dipodidae. The record is from Ensembl.